RNAcentral lists this ribosomal RNA (422 nucleotides) under Bacillus sp. MB353a. RNAcentral describes it as "bacterial SSU rRNA". It matches the Rfam family "Bacterial small subunit ribosomal RNA", at positions 284 to 697 of the family's 1533-position model. Lineage: Bacteria; Bacillati; Bacillota; Bacilli; Caryophanales; Bacillaceae. The record is from RNAcentral.
UAGCCGACAGGGGUGGGGGUUCUCGGACACUUGGGUUGCGACACGGCUCAGGCUCCUACGGGAAGCAGCCGUAGGGAAUCUUCCGCAAUGGACGACAGUCUGACGGAGCUACGCGGCGUGAGUGAUGAAGGCUUUCGGGUCGUAAAACUCUGUUGUUAGGGAAGAACAAGUGCUAGUUGAAUAAUCUGGCACCUUGACGGUACCUAACCAGAAAGCCACGGCUAACUACGUGCCAGCAGCCGCGGUAAUACGUAGGUUGCAAUCGUUAUCCGGCAUUAUUGGCCGUACAGCGCGCGCAGGUGGUUUCUUAAGUCUGAUGUGAAAGCCCCCGGCUCAACCGUGCAGGGUCAUUGGAUACUGGUAGCCUUUUGUGCAGAAGAGGUAAGUGGACUGCCUUGUGUAUCGGUGUUUUGCUUAGCGAU